AUUGAACGCUGGCGGCAGGCUUAACACAUGCAAGUCGAGCGGGGUGAUGGUGCUUGCACUAUCACUUAGCGGCGGACGGGUGAGUAAUGCUUAGGAAUCUGCCUAUUAGUGGGGGACAACAUCUCGAAAGGGAUGCUAAUACCGCAUACGUCCUACGGGAGAAAGCAGGGGAUCACUUGUGACCUUGCGCUAAUAGAUGAGCCUAAGUCGGAUUAGCUAGUUGGUGGGGUAAAGGCCUACCAAGGCGACGAUCUGUAGCGGGUCUGAGAGGAUGAUCCGCCACACAGGGACUGAGACACGGCCCAGACUCCGACGGGAGGCAGCAGUGGGGAAUAUUGGACAAUGGGGGGAACCCUGAUCCAGCCAUGCCGCGUGUGUGAAGAAGGCCUUAUGGUUGUAAAGCACUUUAAGCGAGGAGGAGGCUCUUUUGGUUAAUACCCAAGAUGAGUGGACGUUACUCGCAGAAUAAGCACCGGCUAACUCUGUGCCAGCAGCCGCAGUAA
Molecule: ribosomal RNA, 503 nt
Filed under: uncultured bacterium
Lineage: Bacteria
Description: partial 16S ribosomal RNA
Rfam family: Bacterial small subunit ribosomal RNA
Source: RNAcentral